ACGAUCUUACUUGAACAGGGUAUGUUCUAUAGGAUUGUAUUACUGUGCCCUUGAUUUCUAAGGAGACAGGAACAAAAAAAGAGAAAAUACCAUAUAAUUGAUCGAUU
RNAcentral lists this small nucleolar RNA (107 nucleotides) under Trifolium pratense (red clover). RNAcentral's name for it is "snoRNA Plant_U3". The record is from RNAcentral. Lineage: Eukaryota; Viridiplantae; Streptophyta; Magnoliopsida; Fabales; Fabaceae.